This 492-nucleotide ribosomal RNA is filed under the name uncultured bacterium. RNAcentral describes it as "partial 16S ribosomal RNA". It matches the Rfam family "Bacterial small subunit ribosomal RNA", at positions 29 to 507 of the family's 1533-position model. The record is from RNAcentral.
AGUGAACGCUGGCGGUAGGCCUAACACAUGCAAGUCGAACGGCAGCACAGUAAGAGCUUGCUCUUACGGGUGGCGAGUGGCGGACGGGUGAGGCAUACAUCGGAAUCUACUUUUUCGUGGGGGAUAACGUAGGGAAACUUACGCUAAUACCGCAUACGACCUACGGGUGAAAGCAGGGGAUCUUCGGACCUUGCGCGAUUGAAUGAGCCGAUGUCGGAUUAGCUAGUUGGCGGGGUAAAGGCCCACCAAGGCGACGAUCCGUAGCUGGUCUGAGAGGAUGAUCAGCCACACUGGAACUGAGACACGGUCCAGACUCCUACGGGAGGCAGCAGUGGGGAAUAUUGGACAAUGGGCGCAAGCCUGAUCCAGCCAUACCGCGUGGGUGAAGAAGGCCUUCGGGUUGUAAAGCCCUUUUGUUGGGAAAGAAAAGCAGCAGGUUAAUACCCCGCCGUUCUGACGGUACCCAAAGAAUAAGCACCGGCUAACUUCGUG